UCGCAGGGUCUGUGGAAAAAGGCACUAAGUAAAUUGAUAACGAACUGUUUCUGGUAUAAUCUAUCCUUUGAAAGAUUAUGGUAGGUGUAGAAUUAAAUCACCAAAAAUCACUGUUCUAUUUCUAAAGUCUGACUAUGGCAGUUUCUCAACCUUUUAGCAUUGGAAUAGAACUUUCAUCACCUACAUUGCAGCAAGAUUAUGGAAAAAAAUGCUGUUUCCAUUCAAGUGCUUUAUUUUUUUCCUCCUAAGCAGUGCCAAGAAUACCUUCCUGUGAAAGACAUGACCAUUUCUGCCACUUUUAGGCUAUUUAUUAAGCACAAAAGCCAGUCAGAGAAGCUGACUAAUGUUAUUUAAAGGACAGCAAUGGAUAUCCACAUUAUGAAUUUUUUAUAUGAUUACCUCUGAAUUCAGGAUUCCACUAGCGAAUCAGGCAUAUUUUUCCUGUAUGUGAUAUUGGCCAUACGUUCUUAUGUUCUGGAAUUACCUGUGGCUUGCAGUGCUCUUCUAUCCAGCUGAAAACACAAGCUGAGAGCUCCUGAAAGCUUGUUACAGAGAUGGAGGCAUUAAAGGACUGGAACAAAGAGUCCAUGAUACCCUGGAAAACGUUGAACUUCACUUGGUCAGAGAUCUGGUUCUUUCCUUCACUGGGAUUGUCCUGGUGAGCUUUAACAAUAUCUUCAUAGUUUCUGAAAUGCAUAUAUGUAGUUAGUUAAUUUAGCAGAAAACAUGUGGAAUAAUCAGAUCUGGAAUAAUAAAUUAUCAUUUUAUAGAAGAAACAUUUCUUAAAGAUAGGAUGGAAGAGUUGUAAUAAUAAAUGAUAAUCAUGUUACAGAGUAAACAUUUCUCAAAGAUAGAAUGCAAUUUACUGUUGAACUAAAAAUAUCUGUCUCCUCCCUUCCUUCCUGUAGGCAUACAUAUUCAAGGUAAUAUAUGUCAGGGUUGGAGACCCCUGACAUAUGUAACAUUCUUUACUAUUUUUCCUGAAAAUCAUAGCCCUGACUGAGCUAAGAAAGUCAAUCUGUGACCUUCCAUAACUGAAGGUAGUUUAAAACAUAGAUCUCCCAGCUCUUAGUUCUAAUACAUCACUUUAUUUUGGGGAGGUCAGCUAGUGAAUCAUGAAUAUACAAAUGCACAAGUCUUACACUUUCAUGAUGUUCAAGGCCAUUACAUCUUUCCGGAGAGUGGAGACCUCUUCCUCUUGUUUCUUUUUUUCUUUGUGCAAGAAUUGAAUAUAAUCAAUAGCUGGGUAGCAGAGAAAGCAACAAUUUAGAAAGGAGCCUUUAAGUUUUUUCAAAGCCCAACCUACAACACCUGGCUAUUCAGGUAUUUCUAAACUCAAGUUACAUUAAAGGUGCCAUUCCACUCCCUAGAACCGGGAUGGCGAACCUGUGGCAUGCGUAGCCAUAUCGGUGGGCACAUGAGCAUUGCCCUAGCUCAGCUCCGACAUGCAUGCAUGCACCGGCCAACUGAUUUUUGGCCCUUCCCAGCCUAUCAGAAGUCAGGAACAAGCUGUUUCUAGCCUCCAGAGGGCCUUGGGGGUGGGGAGGGCUGUUUUCGCCCUCCCCAGGCUCCAAGAAAGCCUCUGGAGCCAGGGGAAGGUGAAAAACGGUCCUACUGGGCCCACUGUGCCAUUGUGUACCAAAAGCCGGGGGAAACGUAUUGGGGUACAUUGAAUUAUAGGUGUGGGCACGCACACACACGACCCCCCUAUGCUCCCCCCCCUCUUUUGGCACCCAACAGCAAAAAGAUUAGCCAUCACUGCCCUAGAAUGAAGACAGAGUUAAAUAGAUUCACAAACACUAAGACUAACAAGUUUUGGAGAACCAUGUUAAGUGUAUGAUGGCAAUAAAGUAAGUGUUCUACCUAUACGUUUUAUAACUUUUUUUUUUAAAGAUGUAAAUUUUAGUUAAAAAGCAUAAGCUUUCAUCAGCUGCAGGUCACUAGCAAAUGCCGAGAGUGGUUAAACUGACAAAAGAUUUAAACUAGAAUUGAGCAACUGCUAGCUCAAUAGUAGUCUUUUUGGAAAUCAGACACAUUUUCAAAGCUGUCACAUAUAAUCUGCAUAGCCUCUCCCUCCCCUAUCUCUGCAACAAUCUAGCCACUAUAUAUCUCCUACAAAAUGGAUUACAGAGCUCAUGAAAAUUUACACCUUUUAUUAAAAUAUUUUAAUCAGAAAAGUGAUUAUUCUACUCCAUUUUAUUCAAUUUGUUAGAAUACAGUAGUAAGAUUCAGCUAUUUACAGAAUUUAAUAGUUAUAUAAUGCAAACUCUGAAAUUUGUACAAAUUUCUGGGAAACUUAUAAUGGGUAAAUGAUCGGCCAAGAAACAGAUAAUCUUGGGAGCCCUACUCACUCUUCUGCAGCACAAUCGCCUUGCUUAGCUUCUGGGAGCCUAUUGAGAAAUCUUGCUGCUGGCAUGUGGGUACAAUUGCUUGCAAAUCAUCAUAACCUUUCUGUUAGAAAAACAAAAACAUUACAACUCACUUAUCAAAUCUGCCACGUACGACAAGAAAAUUAUAAACAAGUAGUAGAAUCUGGUCAGUAAAUCUAUUCCUUUACCUGUUCUUCCAAAGUGGAAGCUUUGUAAAUUCCUUGUAAGGAAUUUGAAAUGCAAUAAAUAGCAAGCACACAUA
This is a long non-coding RNA of Ahaetulla prasina, 2631 nucleotides long. RefSeq lists it as uncharacterized. The record is from RefSeq and is a predicted model, not a curated record. NCBI's taxonomy places the organism in Eukaryota, Metazoa, Chordata, Lepidosauria, Squamata, Colubridae. The transcript has 2 exons.